CGCUGGCGGCGUGCCUAAUACAUGCAAGUAGAACGCUGAAGGAGGAGCUUGCUUCUCCGGAUGAGUUGCGAACGGGUGAGUAACGCGUAGGUAACCUGCCUGGUAGCGGGGGACAACUACUGGAAACGAUAGCUAAUACCGCAUAAGAGUAGAUGUUGCAUGACAUUUGCUUAAAAGGUGCAAUUGCAUCACUACCAGAUGGACCUGCGUUGUAUUAGCUAGUUGGUGGGGUAACGGCUCACCAAGGCGACGAUACAUAGCCGACCUGAGAGGGUGAUCGGCCACACUGGGACUGAGACACGGCCCAGACUCCUACGGGAGGCAGCAGUAGGGAAUCUUCGGCAAUGGACGGAAGUUUGACCGAGCAACGCCGCGUGAGUGAAGAAGGUUUUCGGAUCGUAAAGCUCUGUUGUAAGAGAAGAACGAGUGUGAGAGUGGAAAGUUCACACUGUGACGGUAUCUUACCAGAAAGGGACGGCUAACUACGUGCCAGCAGCCGCGGUAAUACGUAGGUCCCGAGCGUUGUCCGGAUUUAUUGGGCGUAAAGCGAGCGCAGGCGGUUAGAUAAGUCUGAAGUUAAAGGCUGUGGCUUAACCAUAGUACGCUUUGGAAACUGUUUAACUUGAGUGCAAGAGGGGAGAGUGGAAUUCCAUGUGUAGCGGUGAAAUGCGUAGAUAUAUGGAGGAACACCGGUGGCGAAAGCGGCUCUCUGGCUUGUAACUGACGCUGAGGCUCG
This 736-nucleotide ribosomal RNA is filed under the name uncultured Streptococcaceae bacterium. Its description in RNAcentral is "bacterial SSU rRNA". It matches the Rfam family "Bacterial small subunit ribosomal RNA", at positions 34 to 755 of the family's 1533-position model. Lineage: Bacteria; Bacillati; Bacillota; Bacilli; Lactobacillales; Streptococcaceae. The record is from RNAcentral.